CCUACGGGAGGCAGCAGUAGGGAAUCUUCCACAAUGGGCGAAAGCCUGAUGGAGCAACGCCGCGUGGGUGAAGAAGGUCUUCGGAUCGUAAAACCCUGUUGUUAGAGAAGAAAGUGCGUGAGAGUAACUGUUCACGUUUCGACGGUAUCUAACCAGAAAGCCACGGCUAACUACGUGCCCGCAGCCGCGGUAAUACGUAGGUGGCAAGCGUUAUCCGGAUUUAUUGGGCGUAAAGGGAACGCAGGCGGUCUUUUAAGUCUGAUGUGAAAUCCUGCGGCUUAACCGGAGUAGUGCAUUGGAAACUGGAAGACUUGAGUGCAGAAGAGGAGAGUGGAACUCCAUGUGUAGCGGUGAAAUGCGUAGAUAUAUGGAAGAACACCAGUGGCGAAAGCGGCUCUCUGGUCUGUAACUGACGCUGAGGUUCGAAAGCGUGGGUAGCAAACAGGAUUAGAUACCCUUGUAGUC
Molecule: ribosomal RNA, 465 nt
Filed under: uncultured bacterium
Lineage: Bacteria
Description: partial 16S ribosomal RNA
Rfam family: Bacterial small subunit ribosomal RNA
Source: RNAcentral